CGGGGAAUAUUGCACAAUGGGCGAAAGCCUGAUGCAGCGACGCCGCGUGGGGGAUGAAGGCUCUCGGGUUGUAAACCCCUUUCAGCAGGGACGAAAUCAGACGGUACCUGCAGAAGAAGCCCCGGCCAACUACGUGCCAGCAGCCGCGGUAACACGUAGGGGGCAAGCGUUGUCCGGAUUUAUUGGGCGUAAAGAGCUCGUAGGCGGUUCGAUAAGUCGGGUGUGAAAACUCUGGGCUCAACUCAGAGACGCCACCUGAUACUGUCGUGACUGGAGUCUGGUAGGGGAGUGUGGAAUUCCCGGUGUAGCGGUGAAAUGCGCAGAUAUCGGGAGGAACACCAGUGGCGAAGGCGGCACUCUGGGCCAGUACUGACGCUGAGGAGCGAAAGCGUGGGGAGCGAACAGG
RNAcentral lists this ribosomal RNA (406 nucleotides) under uncultured bacterium. RNAcentral describes it as "bacterial SSU rRNA". It matches the Rfam family "Bacterial small subunit ribosomal RNA", at positions 355 to 776 of the family's 1533-position model. The record is from RNAcentral.